Molecule: long non-coding RNA, 265 nt
Filed under: Brassica napus (rape)
Lineage: Eukaryota; Viridiplantae; Streptophyta; Magnoliopsida; Brassicales; Brassicaceae
Description: long non-coding RNA (BNAP_LNC016471)
Source: RNAcentral
UAAUUCAAAAGAAAAAGUUAUUUUUUACAUCAAGUGUGACCUUUCUAUAGAAUUCAAAAUAAAUUAUAUCCUUUUAUAACUAUAUCCCAACCUCCAUUAAGCUUUCUUCUAUUUUGUGCUAAACCGAUAACGCAUACCUCCUUCAAACUUCUUGUCUUCCUUAUAAUGGUGAAUUUAACGCAGUACAUCUUUUGUGAUUCUUCUUUCUCCUAUGGUGUUUUCGAGAUUCCUGGAAGUUUUGUGGACUGAGUAGUAUGGGCCUUAA